UGGGGAAUAUUGGGCAAUGGGGGAAACCCUGACCCAGCAACGCCGCGUGAAGGAAGAAGGCCUUCGGUUGUAAACUUCUUUUACCAGGGACGAAAAAGAAUGACGGUACCUGGAGAAAAAGCAACGGCUAACUACGUGCCAGCAGCCGCGGUAAUACGUAGGUGGCAAGCGUUAUCCGGAUUUACUGGGUGUAAAGGGCGCGUAGGCGGGGAUGCAAGUCAGAUGUGAAAUCUAUGGGCUUAACCCAUAAACUGCAUUUGAAAACUGUAUCUCUUGAGUGUCGGAGAGGUAGACGGAAUUCCUAGUGUAGCGGUGAAAUGCGUAGAUAUUAGGAGGAACACCAGUGGCGAAGGCGGUCUACUGGACGAUAACUGACGCUGAGGCGCGAAAAGCGUGGGGAGCAAACAGGAUUAGAUACCCUGGUAGU
RNAcentral lists this ribosomal RNA (427 nucleotides) under uncultured Oscillospiraceae bacterium. Its description in RNAcentral is "bacterial SSU rRNA". It matches the Rfam family "Bacterial small subunit ribosomal RNA", at positions 355 to 794 of the family's 1533-position model. Lineage: Bacteria; Bacillati; Bacillota; Clostridia; Eubacteriales; Oscillospiraceae. The record is from RNAcentral.